UUAAUAUUUAAAUAUUAGGUACUUAUAUUAUUAUAAAUUUUCAGAAAAUGAAUUUGGCGGAUCCAAAUGAUGAUCUUGUUUCAAGUGUAUCGUUAUAUAAGAAAAGAGCCCCGUACCUUUACGGGUUUACCACACCUUUUUUCUUCUUGUACAUAGCUUGGUUGUACAAUUGGUUGGUUGUGUACGGGUACAAUGAGUACGUUGAGAUCGGUACAGUCUGCGGAGUAGUCCUUCUUCUUAUUCAUGUAUUAGUUUUGUUGAGUUGUUAUUGGUCUGUAAGUAUACAAGCUGUCAUGAUGUGCUCCAGUGUACCUGUCACUAGCAAACAAGAUGCUACAUAUGCUAAAGUUACUCCGCUUGAAAAUCACGGGUUCUCUGAGCUUGUCAGAUUGGCUAGAACAGGACCACAUCAAUUAUGGUUCUCCUUCCAGAAAAUUAAAUACGUGUUUGACACAGAGAAGAAGAUAUUCCGAACCAUCCAGUUUCCAGUGGACAUGGAGCUAAAGACGUACAGUGAGUGCAAGGGGUGGAUGGAGGAAGAGGUGCAUGAUAAGACAAUGUUUUAUGGGAAUAACGAGGUAGAGAUGGCAGUUCCAGAGUUUAAGGAACUGUUUCUUGAGAGGGCAACCGCACCAUUCUUCGUAUUCCAGAUCUUCUGUGUUGGAUUAUGGUGCCUGGAUGAGUACUGGUACUACUCUGUGUUCACCCUGAUGAUGCUGGUAAUGUUUGAGUGCACCCUUGUCCAGCAACAGAUCAGAAAUAUGUCGGAGAUCAGGAAGAUGGGAAACAAGCCUUACAUGAUCCAGGUAUAUCGUGGACGAAGAUGGAGACCCUUGCCAACCGAUCAACUGAUUCCUGGCGACAUUAUCUCCAUCAGUAGAUGUUUGAAUGAUAACCUGGUUCCAUGUGAUAUACUUCUACUCCGGGGUCCUUGUAUAGUAGACGAGAGUAUGCUCACAGGGGAGAGUAUUCCUCAGAUGAAGGAGUCCCUGGAGAAUAGUUCCUGGGACGAGGGUAGAUGUCUAGACCUGGACCAGGAUUCAAGAUUACAUGUUCUAUUUGCUGGAACCAGAAUAGUUCAGCAUACUCCUCCGAGUAAGACAGCUGCAGGACUACGAGCUGGAGAUGGAGGAUGUGUUGGAUAUGUUCUUCAGACAGGGUUCAAUACACAACAGGGUAAACUUCUCCGGACAAUCCUGUUCGGAGUGAAGCGGGUGACGGCUAACAACCUUGAAACCUUCUUCUUCAUCCUCUUCCUUCUCAUCUUCGCCAUCGCAGCUGCCAGCUAUGUCUGGAUCUACGGCACAAUGGACCCAACCAGGAAUCGUUACAAGUUGUUCCUUGAGUGUACACUGAUCCUGACUAGUGUAGUACCUCCUGAACUACCUAUAGAGCUCAGCCUUGCAGUCAAUACUAGCCUUCUCUCUCUUUCUAAACUUAAAGUCUACUGUACAGAACCAUUCAGGAUCCCAUUUGCCGGAAAGGUUGAAAUUCUUUGUUUUGACAAGACUGGAACUUUGACUAGUGACGACCUGGUGGUCGAGGGUAUUGCAGGACUACCGCAGGAACCAGGCACUGGUCCACAGGAGAAGAUAGAAUCUAAGUACGGAGUUAUCCCAGUAGACAAAGCUCCUCUUCAGAGUAUUCAGGUUUUGGCGAGUUGUCACAGUUUAGUUCAGCUAGAUGAUGGACUAGUAGGAGAUCCUCUUGAGAAAGCUACCCUGGCGGCUGUAGAUUGGUCUCUAACUAAGGGUGAGGCUGUUAUACCUCGCAAAGGAAAAUAUGGAGGACUGAAGAUCUUCCAGCGUUUUCAUUUUUCAUCCGCGCUCAAGCGCAUGAGCGUGGUUUGUGGUUAUACUGUUCCUGCAACCUCGGACACUAAUUAUAUUGCUACAAUCAAGGGUGCUCCUGAAACCUUGAAGGGUAUGUUUAUCGAUGUACCGGCCGACUACGACAAGAACUACUUGGCUUUAUCAAGGAGGGGAGCCAGGGUUCUAGCUCUAGGUUGGAGGGAUCUAGGCAGGCUCACUCAUCAGGAUAUUAAGGAACUGACAAGAGAAGGUGUAGAGCAGAAGGCGAUAUUUGCUGGGUUUGUGAUAAUCUCCUGUCCGAUGAAACCUGACUCCAAGUCCGUGAUCAAGGAGUUGGUCGGGUCCUCACAUCAGGUUAUGAUGAUUACUGGAGAUAAUCCUUUGACAGCUUGUCAUGUAGCUAAACAGCUCAGAUUCUCAAGAAACUCGACGACUCUUAUCCUUACUAGUGAUGAAGUGGAUGGUUGGGUUUGGAAGAGUGUGGAUGAGAAGGAGACUGUCUCCUUGAAGGGACCCAAGGAGCUCGGCAACCAACAGUGGAAGCAGUUCAUCUCCAGCUAUGAUAUGUGUCUUACAGGUGAGGGACUCACGUACUUAUUGUCUGAGAGAAAAGAACUGGCGCACCGUCUUCUCCCCCACGUCAAGGUGUUCGCUAGGGUCAACCCUAAACAGAAGGAGGUCGUCAUCACUACUCUCAAGUAUCUAGGUUAUUACACGUUGAUGUGUGGAGAUGGAACUAAUGAUGUUGGUGCUCUGAAGCAUGCUCAUGUAGGAGUAGCAAUUCUUUCAUCUAUUCAAACUAAGAAGAAGAAAGAGGAAAAGGAUGAGGAGAGGGAGGUAGAUAAGUUUGACAAACUGAAGAAAGAAGGAAAAGGGAAAAGGACGGAUGUAAAGAAACCUGAUCCAAGAGAUAGGAUGAAUGCACGACAAGCUCAGCUGCAGAAGAUGAUGCAGGAACUUCAGGAAGCUGAGGAUAUGCAGGUCGUGAAGCUAGGCGACGCUAGUAUCGCUGCUCCGUUCACCUCCAAGCACUCGAGUAUAGUUUCAAUUAAUCACGUGAUCAAACAGGGCCGUUGUACCCUGGUCACUACUCUACAGAUGUUUAAGAUUUUGGCUUUGAAUGCCCUUAUUUUGGCAUACAGUCAGUCAGUUUUGUACCUGGAGGGAGUUAAAUUCUCUGACGGUCAAGCAACUUUCCAAGGUCUUCUCCUAGCAGCCUGCUUUCUCUUCAUCUCAAGAUCAAAGCCCCUGACAACCCUGUCUAAAUCCCGUCCCCUGCCCAACAUAUUCAACGUGUACACCAUCCUCACUGUGAUAUCUCAGUUCGCCGUUCAUCUCAGCUCCAUGAUUUUCCUCGUACAGCAGGCCUACCUGCUGGAGCCCAGGGAGGAGUUCCCGGACCUGGAGAAGGAGUUUGCUCCGAACCUUCUCAACAGCACAGUCUACAUCAUCUCUAUGUUUCUCCAGGUGCUAACCUUUGCCAUUAACUACCGUGGACACCCGUUCAUGGAAUCCUUAACAGAAAACCGUAGUCUUCUCUACUCUCUAGCAGGGGCUGGAGGAUUUGUAGUUAUGCUUGCAUUAGGUCUUCUCCCUGAGUUUGCUGAACAGUUCAGUAUUAUAAACUUCACAGAUGAUUUCAGAUCUUUACUUAUCAAGGUUCUGAUGCUUGAUGCUGGAGCUGCCUAUACUCUAGACAGAGUUCUUCUCUACCUAGCUGGAGAUUGUAAACUCAAGAUUAGGGUUUAACUCGCCAGUUUGCAGUACAGUACACAGAAUAGAACGCAGUGCAAUACAGUUUUCUCUACAUAGCUGGAGAUUGUAAACUCAAGAUUGGGAUUUAACUCGUAGUUGACAGUACAGUACGUAGUACAAUUACCAAGUUCAGUCUGCAGUACAUUACUUAGAAUAGUACGCAGUACAGUACAUACAACUAGAUCUAAUAAUUAGAUUAUUUUUGUACUGUAUGGACAUUUAACUGUAUGCACACUGUACAAUGUACUGUACAAUUAAAUGUUGAAAGUUAAAGAAAGGUCGUCAAACGAAUUUAAGGACAGUUAUCAUCCUUCGUCUAUUCUACGUUCUAUUCUAUAAACCUCUCGUCUCACGUCUGACGUCUGUUAAACUAGUUCUGGCAGUUAUUUAUUUAUGUAUUUAUUUUAUCCAUGUUUACCAUCUUUUAAAAGUACAGUAAAGGUUGAAACAUGCAUUGUUAUUAAUUGAACUGUGAUGUCUGGGUAUUAGGUAGGUAGUUGGUCACUUUAUUUGAUUUUGUAUCUGUGAUUAAAUGUUUGGUGUAAAGUAUCACUUUAACAAAAUAAUUGUUAUUUCUAUUUCUAGA
This 4152-nucleotide unclassified non-coding RNA is filed under the name Eurytemora carolleeae. Its description in RNAcentral is "manganese-transporting ATPase 13A1". Lineage: Eukaryota; Metazoa; Arthropoda; Copepoda; Calanoida; Temoridae. The record is from RNAcentral.